UCGAACCCUGCUAAGCAGAACGACCCGCGAACUCGUUUACCAAUCCCGAGGGCCGGGGCUUGCCUCGUCCCCCUCGGAGCCKGACCGUGACCCACCCUAUCCCCUUCGAAAGGGAGACAGGCCGUUGCGGGACGGCAGGAACCCAAACACCGGCGCGGGUUGCGCCAAGGAAUAUGAAUUCAGUCGCGUCCUGCGGCCCCGGGCAACCGGGUUUCGCGGGGAAGCGUGUCGAAAAUUGAACAAAACGACUCUCGGCAACGGAUAUCUCGGCUCUCGCAUCGAUGAAGAACGUAGCGAAAUGCGAUACUUGGUGUGAAUUGCAGAAUCCCGUGAACCAUCGAGUCUUUGAACGCAAGUUGCGCCCGAAGCCAUUCGGCCGAGGGCACGUCUGCCUGGGCGUCACGCAUCGCGUCGCCCCCUUCCCCUCCGCGGAGUGGAGAGRGGGGCGGAGUAUGGCCCCCCGUGCGCCCCUGUGCGCGGCCGGCYUAAAARCGGAGCCCGUGGCUGCGAGUGCCGCGACGUUUGGUGGUUGAACCUUAAGCAUCGCGUCGUGUGCCUGUGCAGCAACGAGUAUGGCUCGGAGGACCCUUAGGCGCCGAAGCCUACCCUUGCGACCCC
RNAcentral lists this ribosomal RNA (618 nucleotides) under Stenogonum salsuginosum. RNAcentral describes it as "eukaryotic LSU rRNA". The stretch from base 247 to 402 matches the Rfam family "5.8S ribosomal RNA". The record is from RNAcentral. Lineage: Eukaryota; Viridiplantae; Streptophyta; Magnoliopsida; Caryophyllales; Polygonaceae.